This 433-nucleotide unclassified non-coding RNA is filed under the name uncultured Russula. Its description in RNAcentral is "sequence contains ITS2". The stretch from base 1 to 154 matches the Rfam family "5.8S ribosomal RNA". Lineage: Eukaryota; Fungi; Basidiomycota; Agaricomycetes; Russulales; Russulaceae. The record is from RNAcentral.
AACUUUUGGCAAUGGAUCACUUGGCUCUCGCAUCGAUGAAGAACGCAGCGAAAUGCGAUACGUAAUGUGAAUUGCAGAAUUCAGCGAAUCAUCGAAUCUUUGAACGCACCUUGCGCCCUUUGGUAUUCCGAGGGGCACACCCGUUUGAGUGUCGUGACAUUCUCAAAACCUUCUCGGUUUCUCGACCGGGAAGGCUUUGGACUUUGGAGGCUUUUGCUGGCAUUCCUUUGUUGGAGCCAGCUCCUCUGAAAUGAAUUAGUGGGGUCUGCUUUGCCGAUCCUUGACGUGAUAAGAUGUUUUCUACGUCUUGGGUUUUAGCACUCCUGCUUCUAACCGUCUCACAGUAGACAAAUGGUCCACUCGACCCACAAACCUUGACCUCAAAUCGGGUGAGACUACCCGCUGAACUUAAGCAUAUCAAUAAGCGGAGGCU